GUUGUAAUUUAUCAGAAAGUCAACAAAAGCAGAAACUUCAAUCUCAACACCCAUUUGACAAAAUUGCAGUGACAAGUUCUUCACCAAGAUCUCUAUAACAGGCCCAUGACUGCUCCACUGUCAAGAAAGCAUUACCAAAAAGCAGAAUUAGCCAAAUGUUGAAGCUGAAAAAGAGGAUACGCCAAUCAAUAUAUUUGAGUACCAAAAAAAGGACAUGUAGACAUAAAACAAAUGUUGUCUGAUUAAUUAAAAAAUGGAUGAUUUUUUUGUUAGGUACAAAGUAAACUUCAAAGUCAUCUUACAGAUUUAGUUGCAAGGUUGACCAAGCAAAGGGAAUGAUCCAUUACUGCUGAAGGUACAUAAUAGUGUUUGGAUGGUACCAGCUAAUGUUUCACUCUGUGAUAUUUUUUACAUUACUCAACUCGCUUCAAUACUUCAUAGUGCUCCUUUCUUAAAAGCAAUAUAUCUUUAUCUCAACAUUACCAUAGAAAAUAUCCUAUCAAAACAUGCUCGGCACAUAUCGGAAACCACACAUAUAUCUUUAUUUGAUCAUGGAAAAAGAUGAAACACACAUGAGCAUGUAGUUAAGUGAGUUAUAUAGAUGUGAACAUAUCAAAUACUUGUUUUCAUGAAUAUCUUGAAGUAUCACAGAUUCACAGUCCUAUACUUUUUUUUGCUGGAAAUCAGUCCUAUACUAAAAGGCUAAUCUACAAAUAAGUAAAUAAAUUAUUUCUUUCUUAUACAUCAUAUCAAUGUACAGAAUCCCAGCUUGCAAAUAAGAAUCCUCAGAUAUGUGCAUUGAUCUUUUUUGCUGUUAUUAUCCUAGUAGGAGGCCUCUAUCUCAUCUUUUACUGUUCAUUUAUACUUCAAAGUAAAAUACACGACAUUGAUCUUCAUAUAUAUACAUGUCAAUAAUUAUUUUUGGUCGAAAGUAGCAUAAUCUAAAUGGUUGUUGGGCUAUUCCGCUGGAUUAGUAUAAAUUUAGGUGAUGACAUACAGUCAAAUAUCAUAAACUAUGUACUGUCAUAUUCACAUUUAUAUUUUGCUAAUGCCCACUACAAAAAACAAAUUGUAACUCGCUAGUCUAAGCGAUGUUGGUUCUUCUGUAAACAUCUCUACCUUUUACAUGGUUGUCCUUCAUCUGUUCUGAUUAAAACUGAACAAGAUUGCUUUCUCCUCGUCAGACUGAAGCUCGUCCAUUCAUUUUCGUCCAAGCUAAAGAUAACCUGCAAAUAAGAAACAACAGACAACUACAGAAUCUGUUAGAGCCCAAAUUAGUUAAUCAAAUUUUAAAAGAUCGGCAACUACCAAUGUGACACUAAUUUACUGUCAGGCAGGUUACAUUCAACGAAAAUGAAUCUGGCCUUUAG
This 1370-nucleotide long non-coding RNA is filed under the name Triticum aestivum (bread wheat). Its description in RNAcentral is "long non-coding RNA (TAES_LNC007316)". Lineage: Eukaryota; Viridiplantae; Streptophyta; Magnoliopsida; Poales; Poaceae. The record is from RNAcentral.